RNAcentral lists this long non-coding RNA (205 nucleotides) under Mytilus galloprovincialis (Mediterranean mussel). The record is from RNAcentral. Lineage: Eukaryota; Metazoa; Mollusca; Bivalvia; Mytilida; Mytilidae.
AAAUAAAUCGUAGCUUUCCGUGAAUAUAUGAUUAGAUAUCCAGCAAAAUGAAUAAUUUUUCCUUUCCGUGACAUCAAGCUUAUUUGGAAAUAUCAAUUCUGCUUUAAUACAAGUUGAAAGAAAUAUCCACUUACGCCAAAUGUUGUCAUCUGAAAACACGAUAAGUCCGUUGCUGAACCCGAUUAGUGCGAAAACGCCGAAAAAA